Molecule: microRNA precursor, 59 nt
Filed under: Oncorhynchus kisutch (coho salmon)
Lineage: Eukaryota; Metazoa; Chordata; Actinopteri; Salmoniformes; Salmonidae
Description: miRNA (ENSOKIG00005029869.1)
Source: RNAcentral
UGGUGUUGUGAAUCAGGCCGCUGUGGUGUUGAGACCGGCUACUUCCCAACACCAGGGUC